GAGUUUGAUCGUGGCUCAGAACGAACGCUGGCGGCAGGCCUAAAACAUGCAAGUCGAACGAUGUAGCAAUACAUAGUGGCGCACGGGUGAGUAACGCGUGGGAACGUACCUCUAGGUGAGGAACAACGUCGGGAAACUGACGCUAAUACCUCAUAAUAUCUUCGGAUCAAAGAUUUAUCGCCUAGAGAUCGGCCCGCGUUAGAUUAGCUAGUUGGUGGGGUAAAAGCUUACCAAGGCGACGAUCUAUAGCUGGUCUGAGAGGAUGAUCAGCCACACUGGGACUGAGACACGGCCCAGACUCCUACGGGAGGCAGCAGUUAGGAAUAUUGGACAAUGGGGGCAACCCUGAUCCAGCCAUGCCGCGUGUGUGACGAAGGCCUUAGGGUUGUAAAGCACUUUCGUCUGCGAAGAUAAUGACAGUAACAGAAGAAGAAGCUCCGGCUAAAUUCGUGCCAGCAGCCGCAGUAAU
Molecule: ribosomal RNA, 469 nt
Filed under: uncultured Alphaproteobacteria bacterium
Lineage: Bacteria; Pseudomonadati; Pseudomonadota; Alphaproteobacteria
Description: bacterial SSU rRNA
Rfam family: Bacterial small subunit ribosomal RNA
Source: RNAcentral